Molecule: ribosomal RNA, 430 nt
Filed under: uncultured bacterium
Lineage: Bacteria
Description: partial 16S ribosomal RNA
Rfam family: Bacterial small subunit ribosomal RNA
Source: RNAcentral
AACGAACGCUGGCGGCAUGCCUAACACAUGCAAGUCGAACGAGACCUUCGGGUCUAGUGGCGCACGGGUGCGUAACGCGUGGGAACCUGCCCUUAGGUUCGGAAUAACUCCCCGAAAGGGGUGCUAAUACCGGAUAAUGUCUUCGGACCAAAGAUUUAUCGCCUUUGGAUGGGCCCGCGUUGGAUUAGCUAGUUGGUAGGGUAAAAGCCUACCAAGGCGACGAUCCAUAGCUGGUCUGAGAGGAUGAUCAGCCACUGGGACUGAGGCACGGCCCAGACUCCUACGGGAGGCAGCAGUGGGGAAUAUUGGACAAUGGGCGAAAGCCUGAUCCAGCAAUGCCGCGUGAGUGAUGAAGGCCUUAGGGUUGUAAAGCUCUUUUACCCGGGAUGAUAAUGACAGUACCGGGAGAAUAAGCUCCGGCUAACUCCGU